This is a long non-coding RNA of Oncorhynchus tshawytscha (Chinook salmon), 519 nucleotides long. Lineage: Eukaryota; Metazoa; Chordata; Actinopteri; Salmoniformes; Salmonidae. The record is from Ensembl.
GUGGUUACAGGGUUCAUUCUGCGUGGUUAUAGGGUUCAUUGUCCGUAGUUACAGGGUUCAUUGUGCGUGGUUACAGGGUUCAUUCUGUGUGGUUACAGGGUUCAUUCUGCUGGGUUACAGGGUUAAUUCUGCGUUGUUACAGGGUUCAUUGUGCGUGGUUACAGGGUUCAUUGUGCGUGGUUACAGGGUUCAUUCUGCGUGGUUACAGGGUUCAUUCUGCGUGGUUACAGGGUUCAUUCUGCGUGGUUACAGGGUUCAUUCUGCGUGGUUACAGGGUUCAUUCUGCGUGGUUACUGGGUUGAAACAGAAACAACUCAAAGGUUAACAGUUUAGGCUCAUCAUUCAGAGUGAUUAAGGUUCGGGCUAUGGUUUGGGGAAGGCUUACAACAAAAUAAUGAAAAACGACGUGCUAUUAUGAUCAGGUAUGAACCGAAUUCACAGUAUUCACACGCCUUGAUAGAGUGUUGUGAACUGCACCAUAGUACAUGGGUCUAAGCAGCGUGCCUCAGCGCCGAGCAU